RNAcentral lists this ribosomal RNA (253 nucleotides) under uncultured bacterium. RNAcentral describes it as "partial 16S ribosomal RNA". It matches the Rfam family "Bacterial small subunit ribosomal RNA", at positions 524 to 776 of the family's 1533-position model. The record is from RNAcentral.
UACGUAGGGGGCAAGCGUUGUCCGGAUUUAUUGGGCGUAAAGAGCGUGUAGGCGGCCAGGUAGGUCUGCUGUGAAAACUCGAGGCUUAACCUCGAGCUGUCGGCGGAAACCAUCUGGCUAGAGUCCGGAAGAGGAGAAUGGAAUUCCCGGUGUAGCGGUAAAAUGCGCAGAUAUCGGGAAGAACACCCGUGGCGAAGGCGGUUCUCUGGGACGGUACUGACGCUGAGACGCGAAAGCGUGGGGAGCGAACAGG